This 424-nucleotide ribosomal RNA is filed under the name Fusobacteriota bacterium. RNAcentral's name for it is "Fusobacteria bacterium partial 16S ribosomal RNA". It matches the Rfam family "Bacterial small subunit ribosomal RNA", at positions 355 to 776 of the family's 1533-position model. The record is from RNAcentral. Lineage: Bacteria; Fusobacteriati; Fusobacteriota.
UGAGGAAUAUUGGUCAAUGGGCGAGAGCCUGAACCAGCCAAGUCGCGUGAAGGAAGACAGUCCUAAGGAUUGUAAACUUCUUUUAUACGGGAAUAACGGGCGAUACGAGUAUUGCAUUGAAUGUACCGUAAGAAUAAGCAUCGGCUAACUCCGUGCCAGCAGCCGCGGUAAUACGGAGGAUGCGAGCGUUAUCCGGAUUUAUUGGGUUUAAAGGGUGCGUAGGUUGUUCGGUAAGUCAGCGGUGAAACCUGAGCGCUCAACGUUCAGCCUGCCGUUGAAACUGCCGGGCUUGAGUUCAGUGGCGGCAGGCGGAAUUCGUGGUGUAGCGGUGAAAUGCAUAGAUAUCACGAGGAACUCCUAUUGCGAAGGCAGCUUGCCAUACUGCGACUGACACUGAAGCACGAAGGCGUGGGUAUCAAACAGG